RNAcentral lists this long non-coding RNA (618 nucleotides) under Anser brachyrhynchus (Pink-footed goose). Its description in RNAcentral is "lncRNA (ENSABRG00000019212.1)". Lineage: Eukaryota; Metazoa; Chordata; Aves; Anseriformes; Anatidae. The record is from RNAcentral.
AUGAAAACACAAAAUUGUGAAAUGACUGGCUGCACAGACAGCUGUCUGGCUCAGCAUCCAUCUCACUCCAGUUUUGGUGGUCACACUGAGCCACACUCGGCAGGGCAGGAAAGCUUUCCCUGUUGCUCUGGGGCACAGCUCCAACCUUCCCGAGCCUCUCGUCUCUCUGCUCCUCAGCCUAGAGCAUGAAACUUGGUCCUCAGGUGCUCCUCCAGUGCAAACCCCCUUAAAAUGAAAUUCCCUUUGUGGAAAGCUUGUGGCACACGGGUGAUCCCGUUCUGCAUCUGUCUUGGUGGAGAAAGCCCCUGGCAGUGGAACAAGUGUCCCAGAGCCCCUGCCAACGCUAGAAGCAGGAACAGCAGCAGCUUCGUGGCACGCUGGGGCGGGAGUGGCUGCUGCCAGCAGAAAACCUCCCAGGAAAGAGGAGAAGAGGCAGCAGGAACAGAGAGGAGCGAUCAGCAGGGAAACGAUGCAGCUGCACCAUCCCAUAGAGCUGCUGGGGACCAGCUGGAUGUUCCUGGCAGAUGCCACGGUGUCAGGGAGUGCUGAGCAUCUACAGGAGGAGCUUUGGGUAUUGCAGGUGUACAAAGAUGCUUGUAAUGAAAUAUUUUCUCUUAU